ACAUGAGGACAGAAAUCAUGGAGAGUGGGAUUGGCAUGAUGAACUGGACCGUUUCUCAACAGGCCUAUUCCCAAUCCUUGAACCACAAAAACAGC
Fusarium venenatum is the source of this 95-nucleotide non-coding RNA. The record is from RefSeq and is a predicted model, not a curated record. Lineage: Eukaryota; Fungi; Ascomycota; Sordariomycetes; Hypocreales; Nectriaceae.